This 73-nucleotide transfer RNA is filed under the name Caudoviricetes sp. RNAcentral's name for it is "tRNA-Glu". It matches the Rfam family "tRNA". From Rfam's summary of the family: Transfer RNA (tRNA) molecules are approximately 80 nucleotides in length. The record is from RNAcentral. Lineage: Duplodnaviria; Heunggongvirae; Uroviricota; Caudoviricetes.
GGCGUCUUGGUGAAGUGGUGAACACACCGGCCCUUCAAGUCGGUAUUCGCGAGUUCGAACCUCGCAGGCGCUA